AUUUUUUCGAAAGAAAAAUCUGUUCUUAUCAGUGUAAUACCUGAUACGUCCUCCAUUCGAGGACUUUAUAUUAAACGGAUUUUACUAAAGAUUUCCGUGGAGAGGAACGUUGAUGAGUUCAACUUUU
This is a small nuclear RNA of Ictalurus punctatus (channel catfish), 127 nucleotides long. Its record names the gene U2. It matches the Rfam family "U2 spliceosomal RNA". From Rfam's summary of the family: U2 is a small nuclear RNA (snRNA) component of the spliceosome (involved in pre-mRNA splicing). NCBI's taxonomy places the organism in Eukaryota, Metazoa, Chordata, Actinopteri, Siluriformes, Ictaluridae. The record is from Ensembl.